RNAcentral lists this microRNA precursor (117 nucleotides) under Drosophila guanche. The record is from RNAcentral. Lineage: Eukaryota; Metazoa; Arthropoda; Insecta; Diptera; Drosophilidae.
GAUUUGAAGUGAUACAUCUACAUCACUUCAUACACCACUCAUUUUCAGUUUUUUUCAAAUUUUACAUUUUACAUUUGUGUUGGUGUAUGAAGUGAUGUAGAUGUAUCACUUCAAAUC